GCCUGGACAGCACAGUUGGCCAGAGCGUGGUGCUGAUAACCCCAAGGUUGCAGGUUCGAUCCCUGUAUGGGACA
This is a non-coding RNA of Podarcis lilfordi (Lilford's wall lizard), 74 nucleotides long. NCBI's taxonomy places the organism in Eukaryota, Metazoa, Chordata, Lepidosauria, Squamata, Lacertidae. The record is from the annotation of a GenBank genome assembly.